AGUGUUGCCUUGACAACAGGUUUGAAAAUCUGAGUCUGGUAAGGCAAAGACUAGGGGGAGAAAUGAGGGAAAAUAGGAAGAAGCAGGAAAGGGGGGAAAUUAAGCUGGCAAAGCUUUCCCCCAAACCACAACUUGCCUCUAUGUAGUUGUCAGUCUAUUAGAAGCAAGCACUGCUGAAUGGGGGGCUAUAAAGUGAGCAACAGGAGGCUCUUCUCUUUUCAUGGCCCAUUCCUGCAGCAGGAGGAAAUUGCACAGCCAAGGAGCAGCAUGCAGCACCGUCACUGGAUGUCACAGCUGGUAAUCUUCCAAGAAGCUUCCAUGUCCUCCUCACAGGCAGGCAGGAGGACGACACAGCUUCAUUGUCUCACUGUGUCAAGGAGGACAUCACCUGAAGUCCCCAGGAAGCUUCUGUGUGCCUGAGGGCUGAAGCCCAGCUCUCCUGGCACAUCUCCAUCCUCCCAUAUGCAGCUGCCCUGCAGAACCGAGCAGCCACACAGAUGGCCCAGAUGUGGGGUUUAACACAGAACAAGAGGAAGGCAGUUUGGGGCAUCUGUUAAUGAGAGAAAAUCACCAUGCAUGGAAAUCUUAUGUAUGGCAAAUAAAUGGUGGGCAAAUACCA
Molecule: long non-coding RNA, 619 nt
Organism: Canis lupus familiaris (dog)
Lineage: Eukaryota; Metazoa; Chordata; Mammalia; Carnivora; Canidae
Exons: 2
Source: RefSeq, a predicted model, not a curated record